Molecule: long non-coding RNA, 1151 nt
Organism: Pseudophryne corroboree (corroboree frog)
Lineage: Eukaryota; Metazoa; Chordata; Amphibia; Anura; Myobatrachidae
Exons: 3
Source: RefSeq, a predicted model, not a curated record
AUGUCCAGGGACAAGCAGCCCCGAUCCCCCCCUUCCCCCACCCACUCGGAUCUAUCCCUGCAUAGCAACGAGGAGUGGGAGCCGACCCAGGAGGGGGAUACGACCGACCAGGCAUGCAGUGACCAGCCGCGGUCGUCAAGGGUCAUGAGAAGACUAAGAAAAAGCCUAGUAGAAAGGCAAGAAGCCAGCCAGAGGAGCAGUCGGAGGAGGAAGCCUCUGGUGAAGAUGCAGGACCGAAAAAGCCGCGUGGACCCAGAUACACUGAGGCGGAAAACUGUGCUCUAGUGGAUGGCGUCGACAGGUCCUACGACGUUCUGUAUGGACCAAGGGCACAGACCACAGCAGCUAGGACAAAGCGAAACAUCUUGGAUGCCAUCGCGAGCCAAGUCACUGCAGUAUCUGGAAACCGCCGGAGCAACAGAAACUGCAUGAAGCGGUACAGUGAUUGCCGCAGACAGAUCAAAAAGAAGAUGGGGAUUCAGCGCCGACAUGAGACCGCUACGGGAGGUGGACCGGCUCUCAAUCUGAAGUGGCUACCCUGGGAGAAUGUUAUUAGAAGGCGCAUGAACCCUGCCAUGGUCGAAGGAGUUCGCGGAGGUGUGGACUCUAGCCGUCCUGCUGGCUUUCCCGAGGAGGAAGAACCGCCCAGAAGACGGAAGAAGGCGGGAGAUAAGCAGUCCAAAAGGAGGCCUGAUGACAGGCCUGCCCAGAGGACAUCACCUGCGCGCAGGACAUCGCCAGCGCGCGGACCGACACCUGCGCAGCAAGCAUCAGGAGCGCGCAGAUCUUCACCUGUGCGCCACAGAUCGUCAUCGCACAGUUUGUCACCUGUGCACCAGACGACGUCGGCGCGCAGACUAUCACCUGUGCGCCAGACAUCAGCGCACAGAACUUCACCUGUGCGCCAUACACCGUCGGCGACCACACCACAAGAUGGGCGCCAAACUACAGCUCAUGCGCGCAGGUCAUCACCAGAUCGUCGUAUCUCCAGGAGCUCUGGGACUGUGACUGAAGAGCCUCAAGACACAACCCUUGUGGACCCAUCACCCGAUCUGUUUGAGUCUACAGGGUUAACAGACGAGACUUUUCUUGGGUUUGAGGACAGCCGUGCAGACGUAUCCAGCCAGACCCUUGAAAAGUCUUCAGAUACG